CAGCCGCCGCGGUAACACCAGCGCCUCGAGUGGGGAUCGCGAUUAUUGGGUCUAAAGCGUCCGUAGCAGGCUUUGUAAAUGCUUUGUGAAAUCGACAGGCUUAACCUGUCGGCGUGCAGAGUAGACUGCAGAGCUCGAGACCGGGAGAGGUUAGCAGUAUUCCUAGGGUACCGGUAAAAUGGGUUAAUCCUAGGAGGACUACCAAUGGCGAAGGCAGCUAACCAGAACGGUUCUGACUGUGAGGGACGAAAGCUAGGGGAGCAAAACGGAUUAGAUACCCGAGUAGUCCUAGCCGUAAACGCUGUGAGCAAGGUAUUGGGCUUCCUACGAGGACGCCCAGUGUCGAAACGAAGGUGAUAAGCUCACCACCAGGGAAGUACGGUCGCAAGGCUGAAACUUUAAGGAAUUGGCGGGGGAGCGCCACAAGGGGUGCGGCGUGCGGUUCAAUCUAACUCAACGCAGAGAACCUCACUAGACCCGACGGCAGAAUGAAGAUCAUGCUGAAGACAUUAUCUGACAAGCCGAGAGGUGGUGCAUGGCC
RNAcentral lists this ribosomal RNA (541 nucleotides) under uncultured archaeon. RNAcentral's name for it is "bacterial SSU rRNA". It matches the Rfam family "Archaeal small subunit ribosomal RNA", at positions 459 to 999 of the family's 1478-position model. The record is from RNAcentral.